CACGCCCGCGCCCGCCGAAGCCACGCCCGAAACCGCCGCGAUCACCGCCUCCGCGCUCUGCCAUUGUGGAUUGAGAGAGAGAGUUUGGUAGAAAGGAUGUGUAUGUGUGCGGCUACGCAGAUGAGGUUUGUGUGAUUUUUAGGGUUUAUGUAAAGAGAGGGCUAUUUAAUGGGCCAGGUAAUGGGCUUAUAUGAUUAAAAAAAUUUAUUUUAUAGUGUGCAAAAUGGUUUUGCUUCCUGCACCGUCAUGAUUAUUUCCUGCACUUUUUCUAUCAUAAAAAAAUUAAAACACCCUUCCGCGCACGGAAAUGUUUGGACUUCGAAACACUCUUUCAAGCACUCAUGUAAUAGGAAGAAGAGAGUAAAACUAUAUAUAAUUUUGUAAUUUCUUUUACCAUGUGAAUUGCCUAAUUCAUAAAAUUUAUGAAUUGUUUAAUUGGUAAUGUUUUUGGAUUACAGAAUACAGAAAGGUUGAAUGUUUAUGUAAAUAUUACGAAAAACAUUUCAUAUAUUCUAGUUUGUUUUGGAAAACAUGUUCUGAAAUAUCACUAUAAUAGAUAAUAAAAUAGUCACCAUUAAAAUAUACCAUGAAAGUCAUAUUGGUCGUUUAGAAAAUUAUUGGGUGCAGGUAGUUAUUGUUGAAAUAUAGAUAAGUUUGAAAUAGAAGAGUGGAGAGAGGAUCACAUAUGAAGACUUGGAAAGAAGAUAAAGACAAAUAGAUAACUUCCCAUAUCUAGAGAUGCAAAAUGAAAUCUAUGAAAGUCCAAGAAGAAGUCUUCUUAAUUUUUAACUUAGAUUGUUGCAUAUCCUAAAAAAAUAUUUCUUAUAAGAAAAUCAUUUUGAAACUAAUUUAACAUUUUUAUGAAAAAUCGUUAAAUUUUUAAUAUUUUUUAGAAAAGACAUAAUACUAAAACAAUAAAAAAGAUAGUCUAUGCAAUACUAAUGACUUUAAUCUCUUUAUUAUGAUUAUUUUAUUAUUAAUGUAUCUCACAUGAUAGUAUCAUUUGUUCACUUAUAACAUACGAUUAUUGUAGGUAAAUAAAACGACAAGAGAUGAAGAUAAAGGUAAGGUAGAAUUAUUAAAAUUUUAUUAACAAGUCUAUGUUAUAACCAUAAUAAAAGAUCACACAUAUAUUUAUAUAGAUUUACACAUUAUGGUUUGUCAUAAUAAAAUAUUUAUCAUGUAAUUGUAUUCUUACAUCAUUUCAUUUAACAAGUAAUAACUCAAACCAUCAUACAAUAAACAAGAUCUUAUGAAAGCUUAAUGUAUUUAUUAGGUUCUAAGAUCAUGCACAUGUUAGUUAUACUCGCUCAAAACCAAUGUGUAUAACAUGGUGAAUCAUUCAUAUGUAGAUUUCACCUUAAGUCAAAUCUACAAAUGAUGACUUCCUUUAACUCUCACUUUAAGUAUAUUUCUCUAUGUGAGUCUAAUACUUAGUAGAAUCAGAAUAGUCUUAAUACAAGUCAUUCCAAUAAUACAUUCCACAUAUCAUUUAGACAUUAACAUCUCCACCUUGGAGAUUUCUAACUCUGACUCAAAUCCACACAAUCAACCACAAAUAAAGAUAUCACUACAUAAAGCAAUUUCAUCAUACCAAACAUUCAUACCUAUUCAUUUAUCAUACAACUCUUAAAUUAUCACACCAUGUCAUACAUAAUGUUUCUUAAUUUCAUCCAAACUCACCACAUCAUUUAAUUUAAUUCAGACAAUAAUAAUACAUCAUUUAUUUUUUAGUGCAUUAGCAUAACAUUCACUUGCGUUGAUAGGAGGAGUUAUAUCUAGCAAAACUCAUCUCACAUAUGUGUUUUUAAUGAUGAACAAAAGAAAUGUUUUAUAGUUUCUUGCACAACAAAUGGAAAAAUAAUUGCUUGAUCAUUAUUGUGUUGGUACUUGAAAUGAUUGGUAUAUGCAAAAUAAUUGCUUGAUGAUUAUUGUGUUUGUACUUGAAAUGAUUGGUAUAUGUAUUCAUUGAUUGUAAAUGAAUUAAAAGUUGAAACAUAUUGCAUAUUGUAUAUAUGAAAGAAAUAAUCGAUUAAACUAUGUAUAUAAUGUUAAAUUUCUUCAGAUUUCAGUACAUGCUUAACAGGGGCAAAAUAAAUAUGUUUUAAUCGAUCACAUUAGUUGUAUAAUUGAUUAAAACACAUUGUUUUGCCAACAUGUGUUUGUUGAGUGCAUUGAUGUGUUUGGAAAGGAAAAUGAUUUUGAAAUUUGUUUAAGUGUGAAAAUUAAGCGAUUACAUAAGUUUCGUAAUAAGUUAAAUUGUUUAUCUUGUGAAAAUAAUUUUCAUUGAAGGUCAUAACUGCCUAUAACGGUCAUAUUUGUUUGUUGUUGACUUGUAUGAUUUAUCUAAUCGAUUGCAUGCGAUGUUUAAUCUGUUAAAUUUGAAACAUAUGUAAAACUGUUAAAGCAUAAGUAAAAACUUAACAGAUUACAUUAAAAACGUAAUCGAUUAAAUUGCGUCAAGAUCUGAAAAUCCUAUAAAUAAAUGUCUUGCGCGCUGAUUCAAUAUAAUUACAUGAACUUACACUUUCAUAAAUAACUUGUUUAUUGAAUAUUGAUUGCAGGAGCAUCUUAUAACAAGUCUUGAAGAAUCAAAGAUCUCAUUUGGGUUAUUCAUAAAGAUUCUUGCAAGAAAGUUGAGCUGAUAUAUUGCUUAUCAAUGUUGCACUUCUAGUGUAUUCUUUGAGGAUCCGUUUCUAGUUUGCAAUCAAGAGGAUUGUGUUCCUGUUGUUGUUAGCCAGGAGGAAGAACCAUAGUGUAAUAACUUGUAUGCAUACACAACUUAAGGAAGAAAGGGCAUUAGUGGCCUUAAAAAUAAACAUUUAGCUUAAGCUUUAAACAAUUUUUUUCUCCCCUUUUUUAUCAUUAUAAAAAAGUUGUGCAAAGAGAUUCUCCCCGUAAUAGUACUCCCCUUAUAUAUAGUAAUAAAAAUAAUUUUAUUGAACAUAACAAAUUUUAUUGAAGGGAAAAGGAAGCACAAUUCAAAACAUAUAAAUUAUAAGAAUUUAAAAUUCAUCACUAUCAUGGUUAUCUAUAGGAUUGAUAUAAUCUUUUGAGACAAGGAACCUAAGAUUUAGAUUUCUAAUAAGAGAGCAAACUUCUUGAUGCCUAGAGUCUUGAAAGGAUGACUUUUUAUACUAAAUGAGGAGCUUGCAGAGGCAUACUCAGAUGGUCUAGUAAUGUCAAGGGCAUAUGCCAUGUGUUAGUCUUCAUCUUCAUCUUCUUGGUUCCUAAUAUCAUCACGGUGGCUAUAGACAUUACCUUGAGGGAGUAUGCUAAAUGAUAGGAUAACACAGAAUCGGGGGAAGUCUCCAGAUUCUUAGAAGUUUAAGCAUAACAUUUUACACAUUCAUGUAAUAUGUUUAUGUGUUUAGAUAUAAGUCCUUGAAUUAUUUAAAUUUUGCUUCGAUUUCAGUAAUCUCGUUAUUUACUAUGAUCGUUUACCAUGCUUUAAUAAGUUUAUCUUUAUUUAUUUCAACUGUGACUACUAUCCCGCAAGCUUAAGAUAAAAAAUAUUUAAACAACCAAAAAUUUUAAAUGUAUAAAAUUGCAAUUCCAUGUUAAACUGAGAAAAAUCAUAUCGUUUAGAUGUGUAUUUGUUAAACAUAACAAGGGGGGAUUGUUAAGACAAAAUCAUCUAUAAGACUUAUAUGUCUAAACACUCUCAUAUGUUUUGAAGUUUAACCAAAUAACAUUAAACAAAAUGAAAAUAUGAAGAUGUUAUUGAUAAUGACAUAUUUUACCAUGAUUUCAGUAUUGAAUUUAGAGAAAAUGUCAACUCUUUCUUAGCUUUUUACCUUCUUUAUGCCUUAAUUUUUUAUGUUUUUAAUUUGUUACAUCUUGAGUUGUAUUUAUUAAAAUUUCAUCACUAAUCCUCACUUUUUGGUUGUUAGAUAAUUUACAUGAAGCUUGUUGGUCAAACUGAAGAAUGGAAGAACCAC
RNAcentral lists this long non-coding RNA (3941 nucleotides) under Vigna radiata. RNAcentral describes it as "long non-coding RNA (VRAD_LNC011309)". Lineage: Eukaryota; Viridiplantae; Streptophyta; Magnoliopsida; Fabales; Fabaceae. The record is from RNAcentral.